UACGGAGGGGGCUAGCGUUGUUCGGAAUUACUGGGCGUAAAGCGCGCGUAGGCGGGCUGGUAAGUUGGGGGUGAAAUCCCAGGGCUCAACCCUGGAACUGCCCUCAAUACUGCCAGUCUUGAGUUCGAGAGAGGUAAGUGGAAUUCCUAGUGUAGAGGUGAAAUUCGUAGAUAUUAGGAAGAACACCAGUGGCGAAGGCGGCUCACUGGCCCGGUACUGACGCUGAGGCGCGAAAGCGUGGGGAGCAAACAGGAUUAGAAACCCCAGUAGUCC
Molecule: ribosomal RNA, 273 nt
Filed under: uncultured bacterium
Lineage: Bacteria
Description: partial 16S ribosomal RNA
Rfam family: Bacterial small subunit ribosomal RNA
Source: RNAcentral